UAAGGCGUAGCAUAAAUCAAUGUGCCUCACUUACGCUGAGGUGAUACUUCCAAUACGGAGUCGCUUUAA
RNAcentral lists this transfer RNA (69 nucleotides) under Telescopium telescopium. RNAcentral describes it as "tRNA-Val". The record is from RNAcentral. Lineage: Eukaryota; Metazoa; Mollusca; Gastropoda; Potamididae.